UCAAGGGAAGAGGCUCCUCAUUUCAAACUCAGCCAAUGAGAGUGUGAUCGUGUGUGAGGCAUCUUGGACUGAGAUGCUUUGCCUUUCAAGCCUGUCACAGCCUGUCAAGGAUCUCCACCUUAUCCACAACCUUAUCCUAACCUCAGCGCACACUCCUCUCUUCCUGGUAAGUUUCCCUUUACCCAUUUCACUCUCAAGUAACUCCUUUCACUAAGGUAACUUCCUUUUAACCCUUUUUACCACAGUAACUAAUAUUUACUGUGGUAACUUUCUCCACCCAAGUAACUUCAACACUCCAUAACUACUCCUCAACUCAACACUUCUGACCUUGUCAAACACCUAAAGGGACCCCCUUGAAGCUGACUCUCAAAAAGAAACACCAACAGACACAAACUUGAAUUUCAAAGGAUCUAGCUCUUGAAAAAUCUCAAGAACUCUCAAGAACACUC
RNAcentral lists this long non-coding RNA (449 nucleotides) under Brassica napus (rape). Its description in RNAcentral is "long non-coding RNA (BNAP_LNC022896)". Lineage: Eukaryota; Viridiplantae; Streptophyta; Magnoliopsida; Brassicales; Brassicaceae. The record is from RNAcentral.